UACAGAGGUCCCGAGCGUUGUUCGGAUUUACUGGGCGUAAAGCGCACAUAGGCGGAUUGUUAAGUGAGGGGUGAAAUCCCAGGGCUCAACCCUGGAACUGCCUUUCAUACUGGCAAUCUCGAGUCCGGAAGAGGUGAGUGGAACUCCUAGUGUAGAGGUGGAAUUCGUAGAUAUUAGGAAGAACACCAGUGGCGAAGGCGGCUCACUGGUCCGGUACUGACGCUGAGGUGCGAAAGCGUGGGGAGCAAACAGG
This 253-nucleotide ribosomal RNA is filed under the name uncultured bacterium. RNAcentral describes it as "partial 16S ribosomal RNA". It matches the Rfam family "Bacterial small subunit ribosomal RNA", at positions 524 to 776 of the family's 1533-position model. The record is from RNAcentral.